This 460-nucleotide ribosomal RNA is filed under the name uncultured bacterium. Its description in RNAcentral is "partial 16S ribosomal RNA". It matches the Rfam family "Bacterial small subunit ribosomal RNA", at positions 338 to 795 of the family's 1533-position model. The record is from RNAcentral.
CCUACGGGGCGCAGCAGUGAGGAAUAUUGGUCAAUGGACGAGAGUCUGAACCAGCCAAGUAGCGUGAAGGAUGACUGCCCUAUGGGUUGUAAACUUCUUUUAUAUGGGAAUAAAACGUUCCACGUGUGGGAUUUUGUAUGUACCAUAUGAAUAAGGAUCGGCUAACUCCGUGCCAGCAGCCGCGGUAAUACGGAGGAUCCGAGCGUUAUCCGGGUUUAUUGGGUUUAAAGGGAGCGUAGGUGGAUUGUUAAGUCAGUUGUGAAAGUUUGCGGCUCAACCGUAAAAUUGCAGUUGAAACUGGCAGUCUUGAGUACAGUAGAGGUGGGCGGAAUGCGUGGUGUAGCGGUGAAAUGCUUAGAUAUCACGAAGAACUCCGAUUGCGAAGGCAGUUCACUGGACUGCAACUGACACUGAGGCUCGAAAGUGUGGGUAUCAAACAGGAUUAGAUACCCUGGUAGUC